UAAACUAGGAUUAGAUACCCUAUUAUUUAAAAUGUUAAUAUAUAUAGUACUAGGCCAGUAUUAGUUAUUUUCUUGAAAAUUAUAUAAUUUGGCGGUAUUUCAGUCUAUUCAGAGGAACCUGUCCCGUAAUUGAUAAUCCACGAUUUAUAGCACUUUCUUUAUUAGUUUAUAUAUCGUUGUAGCUUGAGUAUUUUUUAAGAAUUCAAAUUCUCAUGAUUUUUUAUUAGAGGGUAAUUCAAAUCAAGGUGUAGCUUAUAAGGGAGUGGAGAUGGGUUACAUUAAAUUUAUUUUAGGAUAAUUUUUAGUAUAAUAAUUUGAAUUUGGAUUUGAAUGUAAUUUUUACUAGAUAGUAAAGUUGAUUUUAGCUCUGAAAUAUGCACACAUCGCCCGUCGCUCUUAA
Molecule: ribosomal RNA, 400 nt
Filed under: Sagra femorata
Lineage: Eukaryota; Metazoa; Arthropoda; Insecta; Coleoptera; Chrysomelidae
Description: partial 12S ribosomal RNA
Source: RNAcentral